RNA transcript from Rhododendron vialii, 1538 nucleotides. It is a transcript of the gene named RNA-binding protein 2-like, with no coding region annotated. Lineage: Eukaryota; Viridiplantae; Streptophyta; Magnoliopsida; Ericales; Ericaceae. The transcript has 8 exons. The record is from RefSeq and is a predicted model, not a curated record.
CUCUCCCUCCCUCCCUCCCUCCCCCUCUCUCUCUCUCUGUGAGUGUGUGUGAAAAAUGGCGGAUGCUUACUGGAGGUACGCAGACAGUAGGCAGCAGCAGCAACAGCAACAACCGACUCUUCCCCCUCUUGUCGGGAAACGCCCUCGCUCCGAUUACGAUGUGUCCGGUGGUCAUGAGUUGGGUGGCUAUUUUGCUCGUGAUGUUGAAAGAACAGCGUACCCCGUACUUAGAGAUACGGAUUCCCUUGGAGCAUCAUACGAUCGUUACUUGCGAAAUGCGCAAAUUGCUUCUUAUGGUGGGGGAGACUCUGCUAGACCCAUUACUGGUGGAUUAAGUGGUCACUCGGUUGAUGACGCUCGAAUGAUUGGUGUUGGGGGCUCAGACUCAGCAGUGGCAUUGAAGAGCCACUCCAUGGGAUUGGAAGGUGGUAUGCAUGAGCGUCCCCUUCCUCCUGGUGCUACCAAUACGCUGUUUGUGGAGGGCUUGCCUGCUAACUGUACAAGCAGGGAAGUUUCUCAUAUCUUUCGCCCAUUUGUAGGUUACAAAGAAGUAAGACUGGUGAGCAAGGAAUCAAGACGUCCUGAUGGUGAGCCACUGGUACUUUGUUUUGUGGAUUUUGUGAGUCCAGCCCAUGCGGCCACUGCUAUGGACGCGUUGCAAGUUUCAACACACAGAGAGAGAGAACCAGGUCUGUUCGCGAUUCACACAGUGGACGCGAGAGGAAGAGAUGGCUGGGCACGAGAACGAGAGAGAGAGAGAUGGCUGGACGUGACGGUGUGCGGAGGAGGCGAGGGAGUGUGCGGCGGGCCGGCAAAAUUUUCCAGAUCUGCGUGGGAAAGGAACGGCUGCACUGCUGCUGCUGCUGCAUGUGGAAGCCUGGAAGGCGAAAGUUGUAGGUGUUAGGGCUUAGCUGGGCUGGCUUUACAUCAAGUUGAGCCAAAAGUAAUGUGGUGGCUGAGUAAUCUGCGAAUCGGUUCUCAUUAUUCAGUUUGCAAUGUAUGCAUAUAACAGAUGCAGGGAUCUACAACCCCCAAGUGGUUAGGCAGGUGGUCAAUAUUUGAGAUUUAGGGGUUUGCAUCCUCUUAAGGUCUCAGAUUCGAAAUCUCCUAGGUGCUAUCAACUAUUUAGAGGCUAGUCUAUUCGAAGCUUUGCUCCGGCUUUAAUUGGACUCCCCACAAGUGGGCGAUGUGAUUGGGCUCUCAAGAUUAGUCGAGAUGUUCGUAAGCUGGCUCAUACGUUUGAGUUAUAAAAACAAAAACAGAUGCAUGGAUCUAGAUGAAAAGGAGAAGAGAGAUCCAUUUCAACUUCAACCGCUAGGCUCGUAAUUGCUGAGUCAGAAUCUUAGUUGAAAGUCAUAAUCCUACUAUAUUUUCUGUGUAAUUUGUUAAGAUAAUAAAUCUGUAUCUUAUACAUUACUUAUAAAAUAUAGAUUCGGUUUACAAAAAACUCAGUCUUUUCUUGUUUUAAAAGUGAUGCAUGAUAUAGUCUCUUUUGAAAUGUUAUUGAAGAUUUACCUAGCUAUCAUUUCGCCAUUGAU